GACGAACGCUGGCGGCGUGCUUAACACAUGCAAGUCGAACGGAAAGGCCCUGCUUUUGUGGGGUGCUCGAGUGGCGAACGGGUGAGUAACACGUGAGUAACCUGCCCUUGACUUUGGGAUAACUUCAGGAAACUGGGGCUAAUACCGGAUAGGAGCUCCUGCUGCAUGGUGGGGGUUGGAAAGUUUCGGCGGUUGGGGAUGGACUCGCGGCUUAUCAGCUUGUUGGUGGGGUAGUGGCUUACCAAGGCUUUGACGGGUAGCCGGCCUGAGAGGGUGACCGGCCACAUUGGGACUGAGAUACGGCACAGACUCCUACGGGAGGCAGCAGUGGGGAAUAUUGCACAAUGGGCGGAAGCCUGAAGCAGCAACGCCGCGUGCUGGAUGACGGCCUUCGGGUUGUAAACCGCUUUCGCCUGUGACGAAGCGUGAGUGACGGUAAUGGGUAAAGAAGCACCGGCUAACUACGUG
Molecule: ribosomal RNA, 468 nt
Filed under: uncultured bacterium
Lineage: Bacteria
Description: partial 16S ribosomal RNA
Rfam family: Bacterial small subunit ribosomal RNA
Source: RNAcentral